Molecule: long non-coding RNA, 3792 nt
Organism: Daphnia magna
Lineage: Eukaryota; Metazoa; Arthropoda; Branchiopoda; Diplostraca; Daphniidae
Exons: 6
Source: RefSeq, a predicted model, not a curated record
CGUUUUUACACUGUUCGACUGCGAUGACUGAGGAAUCCACACUGAUUUCCGUUUUUGUCGUUCUUUGUUUCUUCUCUUCGACAACGUUGUCAAUUUUACAUAUGAUAUCUGAUGACUGUUGUGCCGAAACAGAUUCUGGUGAUUCCAAUGCCUCGACAAUUUCCAACUGUUCUGUUGUCAUUUGUUUAAUUUUCUCCUUUUUAUCAACGAGGUCGUCAGAUAUGGUUGGCUUUUCAUCUGGAGUGAAUGCUGAAGUUUGGUGGAUUUCGGUUUCAGCACUGAAGGGCUGGACAACAUCUGUUUUUACAGAAAGAAUUUCAGUUUUCUCGUCAGAAGUUGGACUAGACGAUUCCUGAUUCUGAAUAAACACCUCUUCUAUUUUUUGAGAUAUCGUGUCUUCCAUCAGUUCACUUGGCAAUGUCUCCGCAAUCGCUUCGAUGUCAUAUUGUUGCUGGGAAGGAGUUUCUUCUGGUCCUUCUGGAACUUGUUCUUUACCAAGUGAUUUGAAAGGUCAUCUCGUGCGAUUGUUUCCAACUUCAUUGCAGAAACUUCUUUCGGACUCGCAUCUUUGUCUUGUCGUGGAGCCCCUUGCUUUUUGACCGGCUUUAAAGUGACUUUUUCCACUUGAAAUGAGGCCAGUUCUCGUUUUGGAAGAGCUUUGGCUUUCUUUAGCGGUUUGGUAGUUGUGGGUGUAACUUCAGCCGUUUCAGUGCCUUCUAAUUUGAUAGUUUCCUGACUCCUCACUGGAACGUCUUUCUCAGACGGUUGGCCGAUUUCAGCAAUAGCAGAAGGCGAGAACUCGUUCUUUGGAGUCGGCCAUGUUGGUUCGGUAGUCAUUUCGACCGUUUCAUGUGGUAAAUCAUCUGAUUCUGUCUCACGAUUAAUAAUUGUAGUGUUCAUUUUGUCCUCUGAUGGUACCUCUAUCGCUGCCACUGAUUCUGUCGCAGUAUUUUUCUUCUUUUUCGUCUUUCGUUCCUUCUUAAGCUCACGGAUUUCAACCACAUCAUCAAUCACCACCUGCAUCACCGAAGGAAUGGAUCCCAACUGGAUUUCCGAUGAUACCGUUUGUUCAGAUUUAGAUUCAGGAGCUUCUUCGGCUGCUGGCUGUUGAAGAAUGACAAGUUGAGGAGACAAAUUAAUUUGAGUUUUUGCUUUUUGUUUCUUUUCAAUUGAACGUAGUGCUUCGACGAAAUGUGCAUCCGGUUUUUCAUCUUUACUUUCCAACAUUUCAUCCAGUUCUAGUGUACUGGCUGAGGGGAUGGAUUGUUCAUUGGAAACUUCACUUACAUGGACGGAAAUAGCACUUGUUUUGUCAAGCCUUUCAAUCUUCAAUUGUUCUUCCGUUCGCCUCGUCUGUCACAUCAGUCUGUUCCAGUCCAUGGAAUUCGGUGACAAAUGUUUCUUGAGCAACGGUCGCUUUUUUCAAGGUCGAAACUACGCAAACGCUUUGCAUUUGCGUUUCGUGUUCGUGAUCGGAACCUUCCUUGUCCGAAGAAGACGUCGAAUCGGAAUAUUUCUUCUUGCUGCUUGAUCUGUGGAACAUCCAUCCAAGACUUUUCUGCUUCUGGAACUUGAUUUGGUUUCACGACAGCCUCGAAAGUUGUUUUGACAGUGCCAUCUUCAUAAACGGAGCUUUCUUUAUCGGAGGCAGAACUCAAUUGAACAUCAAUUCUGUCUUCAAUAGUCUUUUUGACGCCAGUAUUGUGGAAUCGACAGUUACCGACUCAUCAUCUCCAGAAAGCGAAAUCUCUUCUAGGGAGUCUGUUGGCGAGGUCGUUUCUUGUGGUACUUCUACGCUGGUUUUGUAGAUUCCGGGACCUUUUCUGCGACAAGGUGUUGGAAUAUCAAGUGCAACUUUAUGUUCUGGAAUGGGUUCAUUUUCCACAGAAUCGGAGGAAUCGAGUGCGGAUUCUUUCGAUAAUUCCAAAUGAGAUUCGCCGCUCUUGUGAGGUAACUUUGAAUGCUCAUCGCGUUUAUCCUCUAACUGAGUCAUUUCUUUUCUGAAUUCAUUUGCCUGUGGAACGGUGGUCUCCGUCGAGAUUUCCUCAACCGAUUGCGGCGCAUCUGGUGCCGGAUAGUUGACCAACUCGUGUUGUUCUGACGAUUCGCUGACCCUUUUCAGCUUGGGCGUCACGCGGACGGUGGCCUGUGACGUCUGAACUUCUCGGAUAGGCGACGUCUCUUCCGUCACCAAAACGGGACUGCCCGUGCAAACGAUAACGGAGGUACGUCGGUGAGCUUCAUCUGGGGGAACGACUUCUACGCUACUGACGUCGUAUUCGCCCACUAUAUCCUGCGCUUCCUGCCCAACAAGGGGCUGGACGAUCCAUGGAAACUGUUCCAAUAUCGCUGUUGAUUGCCCGGAGGGUAUAUUAUCAUCGCUCACUUUGUUGGACGUGAUUGGCAUGGGAAUUUCGUCUGGAUACGAUGUUUCCAUUUCUUCGAUGCUAACGGUCGUUUUGCUUGGCACUUCCGGCGAAAUCACAAAUACGCCCGGCUGAUCCUCUAACUGGAUGGGAAUGAAUCGCUCUUUUGGAAUAUUAGACGCUUUCUGUUCCUCAUCCGGAAGGGAAAUGAUGGGAAUGCUUUCUUCGACGUUACUUGCUGUUGGAGACGCUUCGUUUUCCAACAUUUCGCUAAUCCGCAAAUCAGACAAUUGUUUGAUCAAUGGCUGCGGUGUUGAAACAUCUUUUUCGGUUGUUUUACUUUCACGAACGAUUUUACUCUCCCCGCCACGUUUCAAUACGGUGAUUGUUUCCUCAACGGAACGACCUUGAACUCUAACCUGACUACUGCGGAUUUCAAAUGAAAUGGGUCGCUCGAUUGCAGCGCCAACUGGUGUUGGCAGGUUUACCACGAUAUCGGGCGUGUCUUCGAUCCUAGCACUCGUAUCGACGAGUGGCCUAACGACUUGAGAUUUCGAUUGCAAAUUUCCUACGUUUAACGAAGAAAUAUCAUCCGGUUGAUCGGAUGAUUCGGGUCUAACAUCUGCCAAUUCGGGGCAAAGAGUUGGGAAAAAGGUCAAAUGAGAUGUGUGAUCGUCUGUAUCCGCUGGACGAGGAAGCAAAUCGUGUGUUGUUGUCGCACUGAGUUGUGUUGGUGACGGUGUCGUGAAGAAGAGUGUCGUGUUGCGUGUAUCCGGUACAGGAGAUUCUAAAGAAAUUGACACGUCGAAUACCACAUCAACGAUCGCAUCUACUACUUAUAUAGGUCUGAUUUAAAACAUCAGGUAAUGUCCCAGAGCAAAGUAUGUACAAACGAAUUUCCGAAACUGAAAUGUGUGCCCAAACUGAAAAAGUUAAGAAAUCAAAGCGAAUAUGGAUGGAAAAUAAAAUGAGAUGGUAUCCAAGCUUCAUUCUUACGUUAUGAUUGGAAUGCAUAUCGUUGGCGCGAACCCUUGCUUGUGAUGUAUAACGUGUUAUCCGUAUCGAAAACGGAUUCUGGUAUAUGUUUUUUGAAUGUUUCUCUUUUUGUUCGUGUCAUGCCGUGUUAAGUGUGUGCAUUUUGGAACCGAAUAAAAAUAGGCUCUGUUGAUAAUUGAGCAAAUAAUGUCAAGCAAAAGUUGGUCGUUUCUGGCCAGGAUGAAGCAGAAACAAACGAAAAAAAAACGUAAAAGUUGGAUUCUUGGCUGAGGCGGAAGACAGGAGCGAUGUAACAAAAUUUUAAAUGAAAAAAAAAUUAUAUAGAAAUAAAUGUUAUUCUUGUUGUUUAAGGAAACUAAAAUUCGUUUAAAGGAUGUCUUGGCUUUGGUUUAAGAAACAAAAAAACAGAAUAAACGUAGACUUACUGCUA